UUAUUGCUAAUUAUUUUUGUUUUUGUUAAUUUAAGGUAUAAAAUAUAUUUUUUUUUUAUUAUUUUUAUAGAAAUUUUUUAUUACGUUAUAUAUUAUUAGUAUUGUAGAAGAAUUUAUUAUUAAGUUAUUUAGAAUUUAUUAGAUGAAGUACCUUUUGUAUCAGGGUGAAACAAAAAACUUAUUUAUUUUAAAGUUCUCGAAAUGUAAUGAGCUAUCAAAUUAUAUUUAAUUACUGUUUAACAAUUAAUUUUUACUUUUUGAUUGAAAUGAUAUGUUAAUCGAAUUACUUUAUAUCUAGUUUAAUUUUUGUUAAUUUUUUUCUUAAGGGAUAAAUUUUAGGUUUUUGUAUAUUAAGGGUUUACUUAUUUUUAAUCAUUAUAUUGGAAGUGUAUAUUUUUUUAAUAGUUUAAUAACUUAUAACUUAAUUUUUUUUUGCGGUAUGUAAUUAUUUUUUUUUUAAUUUCUUUUUAAAGUAAUAAUGUUUUAAUAAGUAUAAUUUGUUUUUUUUUUAUUUUUAUAUUUAAAAUUUAUUUAAAGGAACUCGGCAAAUAUUUCUAUCGCCUGUUUAUCAAAAACAUGUCUUUUCGAUUUAUUUAAUGUAAAGUCUGGCCUGCCCAAUGAUUUUUUUUAAUGGCCGCAGUAAUUUGACUGUGCGAAGGUAGCAUAAUAAUUAGUUUUUUAAUUGAAGACUGGAAUGAAAGGUUUGACGUAUGGAAAGCUGUCUCUGAAUUUAUUUUAUAAUUUUAUUUUUAGGUUAAAAAGCCUAAAUUUUAGUAAGGGACGAAAAGACCCCAUCAAGUUUUAUACUUAUUUUUAUUAAUUUUCUUUUUUAAUUUUUUAUAGUAUUUUGCUGGGGCGGCAGGUUAAAUUUAUCUUAAUUAAGUUUAAUAAAUUAUAUUUUAUCUUUUUAUCUUUUUUUAAAAUUAAAUUAAAUUACUGUGGGGGUAACAGCGUAAUUAAUUUUUGGAGUUCAAAUCGAAAUAUUAGAUUGCGACCUCGAUGUUGGAUUAAUAUAGCUUUAAAGGUGAAGUUGUUUUUUAAAGUAAGUCUGUUCGACUUUUAAAAUAUUACAUGAUCUGAGUUCAGACCGGCGUGAGCCAGGUCAGUUUUUAUCUUUAUUAAUUAUAUUUAUAUUAUUAUAGUACGAAAGGACCUAUUAAU
This 1161-nucleotide ribosomal RNA is filed under the name Endeis sp. JZ-2022. RNAcentral's name for it is "16S ribosomal RNA". The stretch from base 944 to 1104 matches the Rfam family "Archaeal large subunit ribosomal RNA", at positions 2542 to 2701 of the family's 2987-position model. The record is from RNAcentral. Lineage: Eukaryota; Metazoa; Arthropoda; Pycnogonida; Pantopoda; Endeidae.